Molecule: non-coding RNA, 1540 nt
Organism: Misgurnus anguillicaudatus (oriental weatherfish)
Lineage: Eukaryota; Metazoa; Chordata; Actinopteri; Cypriniformes; Cobitidae
Source: RefSeq, a predicted model, not a curated record
GCUAAAUAUAAUCGAAAACAAAUAUUGCCAGUUUAUGUAAUCUGCAUUGAAGUAAAGAGAGUACCGUUUUUCCUGGCUGACUUCAUUAUCUGUAAUUUGGUCACGCCCACAGCUGUUGACAUGGUAAUGAAGACACGAGCUGUUCAACCAUAACAAGCAAAGCUUAAAGUUUGAUCAGAUUUAAAGACUUUUUACCGCAUGUUUGGAUUAUAAACUUUAUUCACACACGUGAGGAAUAUCUUCAUUUAUGUCUGGACAUUAAGGAAGAGAAGCAUUUAUCUUUAACGUUACCUUAGAAGAACAAUGAAAAACGCACUGCUGGAUUAGAAGUAAGCAACGUUAACAGUUAAUUUAUACCAUUUAUAUUUGCUAUUGUAGCAGAGCCAGGAAGGGCAUUGGUUUAGGUCACGUGAUGUGAUGAGAAUUAUAUAAAAGGCAAGCUUUGGGGCUACCUGGUGAUGCGUCACCUUUGACUCCGCCCUCUCGUGGGACCCGAUCCAUUGUUUCUGCCAAGGUAUGUGCGUUCGCAUGGUGUGUUGAUCUUUUUGGUAACUUUAUGGAUGCGCUUGCUCAUGUUACUCUGUUCGACAAUAGGACCAUUUGGCUAACUGGUUGUUGGCGUGGGCUGUCGGCUACCUCAGGUAUGUGAGUUUCAUUUGUUGUUUUAUAUGAGCUGGUGUACUGAAAUUCACGUGCUGCACCAUUUCAGUGUGGUUUGGCGUUCGUUUGAACUGAACGAGCCACUGCGAGGACGUUCUUGUUAGGGGUCAUUCCCGCAAGUUUUCGGUUGAUCUGGCCUUUCUGAUUACCGUCCAGGAACAGAGAGGGUAUUUGGCCCGAGUGUGUGACGGCGCUGCUGUUUUGCCUGUGGGGAAAUUUUAUGAGUGUUGCUCACCACCACUUGCCAGUUCGGUCGUCGACGGCAAGCUGUUUACCGUAUUGCCAAGGGCGAUUAAAUUGCCGCUUUGCCUACGGCAGGUUAGCUGCUGUGUACAACUCCUGUCAGUGUUUGUUUUUAUUAAUGAAGACUUUACGCGUCGUUCCUUCACGGACAAAGUUACUGUUACCCGCCUCAGGGGAAAGCCCUUUGGGCCACCGUGACUUCAGCUCGAGGUAUCGGGUUUCAUUUUAUUAAUAUUGUCGACGUGAAUUGUCCCUGAUUUUGUGUAUUACAUUGAGUCGCGUGAUGCUGUGUUUUAUGUGUGUUAUGUAUUUUCGUUUUUGACGUAUUUCCUUGUUUUUGGUUUGUUUUCUUUAUUUUUGAUUUAUUCCCUUACUACUGGUGAUCGCUACUGUUAUGACCAGUAUUAGGUCAUGCUAACUACUGCUUGAACGCACCUUUUGUAUAGCAUCUUUACUUCAAAGGUGUGCCUCACUCUGAGUUUACUUACAAUCUGAAUAAUCUCGUAUAGCCCUUGUCUAUUGUGAACCACCAUUGUACAUCCGUAUAUGAUGGUGGGCUGACCAACUAUGUAAACACACUUCUGCGUAGUUAUUUUUGCUACAAACUAACACUGCUACGAGUGUACGGAGGCAGAGU